Trichechus manatus latirostris (Florida manatee) is the source of this 5626-nucleotide RNA transcript. It is a transcript of the gene named MCTS1 re-initiation and release factor, with no coding region annotated. NCBI's taxonomy places the organism in Eukaryota, Metazoa, Chordata, Mammalia, Sirenia, Trichechidae. The record is from RefSeq and is a predicted model, not a curated record. The transcript is spliced from 6 exons.
UUCUCCGCCCCUUCUAUUCUUCCAGCAACUGGAAAGAAUUGCUCUGUCUCAUCUUCCUUCUCAAGUCCCGCCCUUUUAACUACUCCCUCAGGACGGUAAUCGUAACCCAAAAAGAACCGGCAAAAGCGCCGACGUGGAGUUCAGAGGAGCGGAAGUAGUCAGAUUUCACUAAGCCGUAAGGCGCGACUGGCUCUUUCAUUUUCCGGCUAGCGACAACAGCUCGGACUGUCAGUGCCGGCCUUCCUCGUGUAAGGGUAUCUGCCGGACACUUCUUAAUUCAAUUUCUUUCCCAAUCCGGGCCCUUCCCUAUCGUCGCCCCCUUCACCUUGGAUCAUGUUCAAGAAAUUUGAUGAAAAAGAAAAUGUGUCCAACUGCAUCCAGUUGAAAACCUCAGUUAUUAAGGGUAUUAAGAACCAAUUGAUAGAGCAAUUUCCAGGUAUUGAACCAUGGCUUAAUCAAAUCAUGCCUAAGAAAGAUCCUGUCAAAAUAGUACGAUGCCAUGAACAUAUAGAAAUCCUUACAGUAAAUGGAGAGUUACUAUUUUUUAGACAGAGAGAAGGCCCUUUUUAUCCAACCCUAAGAUUACUUCACAAAUAUCCUUUUAUCCUGCCACACCAGCAGGUUGAUAAAGGAGCCAUCAAAUUUGUACUCAGUGGAGCAAAUAUCAUGUGUCCAGGCUUAACUUCUCCUGGAGCUAAGCUUUACCCUGCUGCGGUAGAUACGAUCGUUGCAAUAAUGGCAGAAGGAAAACAGCAUGCUCUGUGUGUUGGAGUCAUGAAGAUGUCUGCAGAAGAUAUGUAAGUCUCACUUUAGACCCUCUUAGCUUUUCAGCUAACCUACCCAGGAAGCAUCAGAAUUACAGUGAGAAGGUCAACAAAGGAAUUGGCAUUGAAAAUAUCCAUUAUUUAAAUGAUGGGCUGUGGCAUAUGAAAACAUAUAAAUGAGCCUCAGAAGGAAUGCACUUGGGCUAAACAUGGAUAUUGUGCUGUACUUCUGUGUUUGUGUCUUGUAUGACGGCAUGAAGACAAUGUCUCUGGUUAUGCUGAAUAAAUUCAACAGAUACUAAAAUGCUGUUAGCUUCAAAAAUUAUUUUAGUUUUUCUUAAAACUCAAGUUAAAAUUGGGUAGCAAACUUGGAGAGAAAAAGGUACCUGGUAAGUAACCAAACUCAGACAACUUAACAUCCUUUCUUAGGCUAAUGAUGCAAGAUUAAGGGUUGGACUUGAUAAUUGUAAUUGCCAGUUUAUGGGUGACCCCUAGAGAAUCUGACUAGUUAAUGGGGCUUGAAGCUAGACUGGGAAUUUUAUCCCAUUACCCCAGGGCACCCAGCAGUGCUCCUUCUCUUUUGUUUUGUUUUUUUAACUUUUCACUACGGGAAAUACACGAAAGUAUAGGGAAUAGUAUAAUGGACCCUUCUGUAUCCAUUACCCAGGUUCAAUUUAUAGCCAAUCUUAUUUCAUCUAUACCCUACCCUCUAAUUAUUUUGAAGCAAAUCCUAGACAUAUUAUUUCAUCUGUAACUAAUAUGUAUCUUUAAAAUAUAGGUGGUCUUUUUUUUAAACAGAACAUAACCAAAAUACUAUUAUAACACCUAAAAAAGCUUAGCAAUUUCUUAAUAUCAAAUAAUCUGCUCAGUGUUGAAAUUCCCUUCAUUCUCUUUUUAUCUUUUUUUAACCAUUGAUUUGCUUGAAUAGGUACUAUACAAGGUCCACACAUUGCAUUUGGUUGUUACUAAUUUUAAAUCUUUUAAUCCAUAAGUUCUCCCUUUCUCUCCCCCCCCUUAAAAUUAAUUAUUUAAGAAAUCUGUUGUCUUGUAGAAUUUCCCCACAUAUUCUGGAUUUUGUUGAUUGCAUCACUGUGAAGUCAUUUGUUUCUAUGCCCCCUAUAUAUCCUGUAAACUGGUAGGUAUGAUCGAAUUCAGGUUCAAUUUUUUUAGUGCCCUCUCUUGAAGCUGGGUAAAAUCAGACCACACAGAUGUCCAGAACCUCCAGAUUUGGGGCUCCACUGCAUCCCCUGAAGAAUGUGUAUCUCUUUUAAGUGGAGGAUGAGGGUCACAGACUUAAACUUUAAUAAGACUAGUAAGCUGUUUGGGGAAUUGAAAAAGCAGAUGUGAAAUUAUUUAGUGAUAAAAGCCUUUCUUCGUAAUAACCUUGAUGUUACUCUAGUGCCUCAGCCAUCUUCAUUUGGUUGGUUACAAAUAUAUGGCAUGUGAUUUUAUUUUUCAGAUGGAUACAGACAUUUACAAGAUUGUGGUGACCUGUGUUACAGUUAGAAGUUGGUGAGAAAGGUGAGGGUGGAUUUUAAAAAAGGAAAGAGACCAUUUGUCUGGCUGUUCCAGCUGGGCCUCCCAGUAUAUAAUAUAGGUGAAGGUUACAUAUCCAGGUUACAUAUCCUCAGAUUGAGAAACCACUUCCCACUAACACAACUUGUAAGACUUGGCAGUUUCCAAGUUAGAAUGUAAAUGUAUUAAUUUAUAGAGGUAGAUUUACCUAGGGUAAACAAUUAGUAAACAGGAAGCUUCUUGGUGAACAUGGAUCACAGCAAAGGAAGGUUUAUAAUUUGGGCGGACUAUUUCUUUUGGGCUAGGGUAAGGCUUGGAGAAUUUUUCUUGUUUCAUCAUUAAUUAGAAUUCUUAUGUCUGCCAAAAUCUGGUCUUUCCUGACCAGUAGAGGCACACUGAUGUCUUACUUCCUUUUCAAGUUCCAUGUAGAAUAUUUUCCUUUUGUUGUGAGUUAUAUUCUAUAACUGACUAUUGUUAUGUUUUAUUAUAUAUUCCUGGUGGAUAAAAGGGUAAAUAAUCUCAUCAGUAAAACAUUUAUAAAUCAUCUCUCUGGGUAGGUUUCUUUUAACAGGUAGUCUCAUUUUAUGCUGACUUAAUCGCUUCAAAUUCAGAUGCUCCUCCCACUUGGGGAAGAAGGCACCCUAUUUGAGGCUUAUAGCUCCUUAUAUUCUUGAAAAGAGAAUUUGCAAGUUAUUUAUGUCAACCAAACUGAACCUUUAUCUUUGAUGCUAAGGUAAUGUUAAUUGACCAAGAUUGCCUAUGGAGUAUUAGCAAAAGCGCGCGCACAUACACUCUCACUCGCGCGCGCACACAUGCACACACGCACACACACACACACACACACACAAUUAGAGAAGUUAAAAUCUCUAAUAGCCUGGUUUCUGAAAUAAUUUAUCCUUGUAUCUAACCACUAUUACAGUAUAGGUAACGCCUGUACUGUAUUCAGUAUAUUCAACAUCAACAUCUGUGUUUGUUUUUCUACUAUGCUGAGGUACAUUGACUGUGUUGCCCUGGUGAUAUGGACUAAAUAUGUAUGUUCCCUGCUUCUCCUGGGUCUGAGGUCUCAGUUCAUUGGUGUUAAUCAGGGAUGUCACUCUACAUAUGCUUUCCUUGUUAGUUUCUAUACAUUAAAUCUUGUAUGACGUCAGUUCAGAGAGGUUAAACUAGCAGAUAAAUCAGCCUCUUUAGGCACCAUGCUUGAAGGAAACUUUUAGUUUACCCACAUUCCUGAGAGUAGGAACAAGGGAGAGCUUGUUUUCUCUUUGGCAAUGUGUCUCCAGUUCAUUUUUAGUUUCAAAAUUAAUUUUGUGUCAAGAACCAAUCUACAGUCCAGCCAUUCCUGUUUAUCUGAUUCAGUAUUACUCAGCCAAGGUCAGUUCAGCUUAAUGGAUAUUUAUUGAGUGUCUGUUAGGUUCUAGGUGAUGUGGCACAAAGAUGAAUAAUACACAAGUAGCCCUUGCCCUUAAGGAGCUUCCAGUCUAGUGAGUAAAGAAAACUUAAAUCUGGGUAAUGGUGACAUUUCAAUACCAUUUACAAAGUCAGUAGGAAUUUCCUAAUACUUCUCCAAUUUUGUUCAUCAAAAUUUGCAAAUUACACAUGAUCCAAAUAUAAAAAUAUUCCUUAGAUUGUAUCCAAUGUGAGAAGGUUUUAAAAAAAAAAAUCCAGAUGUGUUGGAGUUGCAAUGAUUCACGUUUUCAACUUAGAUGGUUCUCCAUUUGUCCUAUAGUAUUAAGGCCUGGUCAGUCCUCUUCUAGCCAACUGAAUAUAGUGGUUUGGUGGUGGUCUGUUGGCAACUGCAUUUUUUUUUUAAUGUUCUGGACUCCAAAAAAAAUCAGCUGGAUUUAUCCUAUGGGUACUCAUGACCACUUCCAAUUUGAAGGAUUUGAUAUUCCCCAAACAGAAGAUCAUAUGGCAUUUGUCAAAUAAUGAUUAUAUCUAGCCAAGUUCCCCCUCUGUAUACAAAUCAGCAACACCUGAGGAUACAUUAUUUCUAAGCAUAGUACUUCAGAAGAAGACAUAAGAAUGAAGAUUCACUAAAUUUACAGAGGUAUUUCAUUACAAUAAAUAUUUCAGUUUUUUGCUGUGAGAAUAUUAAUGAUAUAGCAAUUAUAUAUUAAUAGAAAUAUUAAAUGAAUUUAUACCCAAACAAAAUGGGGUAAAUAUUUUAACUUUCUUUACUUAGGUUCCUUAAUGUUUGAGAAUGUAUCUUUCAAGGCUCUUCAGGAAACUCAAAAUAAUUCCAAUUUCUAAAUGAGUAUCCACUAAAACUGAUUUAUAAUGAGAGAAAAAAAUGAAAAUGUAUGCAUCCUAUGCCUAUAUAACCAUAAUUUCUGAGAUCACAAACAUAUUCAAGUACCUAUAAGAAUUGGGCCAUUUAAAAUAUAUCUUAAAAGUUUUUCAAAAAACUUUUAUUAAGGCAGUGAAGAUUAGACUAAAUCUAAUUGUACUCUUUUAUCAGUCUCUCAGUAGUAGUUCCUAAAGAAAUCGUACCUGUCAACCUGGAGACUGAUGCGUAUAAAUGUACACUCUCUUUUAAUUUUUACAGGUGACAGGUAAAAGAAUGAGUAGAAAUUACCAACUAUAAAUAACAAUAAUUUGUUUAAUUUUAUAUUAAAACCAAUUAAGUACUAGUAAAGGACCACAGCUCCAUCAGAUCAGGAAAGAAUAAACAAAAUUGAGGACCAACUUUUAAAUCAAUGUUGAGACUAUUAGGCAGUUUUGUUUGUUUAAGAGGAUAGCCAUUUAGAGAAUAUGAUUUGUGCAUGGAAAGAGAUGUGGGAGAUGAUUCACUGAAAUUUCUCCUAAUACCAUAUUCAUUAAGAAUAGGUCAUGGGGAAGGAAACAAAAACAUCCAAACUGAUUAGUACAAUUAAUUUUUGCCUCUUGGUGUGAAAAUUAAAGAACACCAAAUUUCAUCCUUGACCACUCUUGAGAAAUAAAAUAUCAAUUAGUAAAACAACUUUUAUUUAAAAUAUAUGUGUUAUAGAAAAUGACAUGCCUCACUAUAUCCAAUUCUAAUUAAAUGGAUUGUCUUAGAAAUUAAUGUGUUUGUGAAAUAUAGCAAACAUGGAUAGUAUAACAAAUGAAAACUGAUGUUCCAAAUGACUAAGACGACUUGGAUUAGAGAAAGGAAAAGGUGUAUAAACGUCAGAAACAGUGAUGAAAAAUUGAGCCACAGACAUCAGUCUUAUAUGGAAUACUGUAAUUCAGUAGUCUGUGAUGUCCAAAAUAUAGCAGACAUCCAAUAUUAACACAUACUUAACUGGUCUUGGAGCCCUGGUGGUGUAGUGGUUAGGAGCUCUGCUGCUAACCAAAAGGUUGGCAGUGUGAAUCCACCAGCCACUCCU